RNAcentral lists this ribosomal RNA (251 nucleotides) under uncultured bacterium. RNAcentral describes it as "partial 16S ribosomal RNA". It matches the Rfam family "Bacterial small subunit ribosomal RNA", at positions 103 to 354 of the family's 1533-position model. The record is from RNAcentral.
CGGGUGAGUAACGCGUGGAAAACCUGCCAUAUACUGGGGGAUAACACUUAGAAAUAGGUGCUAAUACCGCAUAAGCGCACAGCUUCGCAUGAAGCGGUGUGAAAAACUCUGGUGGUAUACGAUGGUUCCGCGUCUGAUUAGCUAGUUGGUGGGGUAAUGGCCUACCAAGGCAACGAUCAGUAGCCGGCCUGAGAGGGUGAACGGCCACAUUGGGACUGAGACACAGCCCAAACUCCUACGGAAGGCAGCAG